RNAcentral lists this transfer RNA (72 nucleotides) under Ovis aries (sheep). It matches the Rfam family "tRNA". From Rfam's summary of the family: Transfer RNA (tRNA) molecules are approximately 80 nucleotides in length. Their secondary structure includes four short double-helical elements and three loops (D, anti-codon, and T loops). Further hydrogen bonds mediate the characteristic L-shaped molecular structure. tRNAs have two regions of fundamental functional importance: the anti-codon, which is responsible for specific mRNA codon recognition, and the 3' end, to which the tRNAs corresponding amino acid is attached (by aminoacyl-tRNA synthetases). tRNAs cope with the degeneracy of the genetic code in two manners: having more than one tRNA (with a specific anti-codon) for a particular amino acid; and 'wobble' base-pairing, i.e. permitting non-standard base-pairing at the 3rd anti-codon position. Lineage: Eukaryota; Metazoa; Chordata; Mammalia; Artiodactyla; Bovidae. The record is from Rfam by way of RNAcentral.
UCCCUGGUGGCUCAGACAGUAGAGAAUCUGCCUGCAAUGCAGGAGACCCUGGUUUGAUCCCUGGGUUGGGAA